Molecule: long non-coding RNA, 462 nt
Filed under: Actinidia chinensis (golden kiwifruit)
Lineage: Eukaryota; Viridiplantae; Streptophyta; Magnoliopsida; Ericales; Actinidiaceae
Description: long non-coding RNA (ACHI_LNC000611)
Source: RNAcentral
UUCCGUGACAUACACUUGCGGUAAGGAAAUUCACUUUUGGGAGCCAAUGAAGUUUUUGGCGCCGUUGCCGAGGAGUAUACUUUCGCUUAAGAGGACCACAAGAGGUGUGCUAGAACACGAACCUCAGUCCUUGCAAAAAUUCAUUGAAUUGCUUCAUCAUCAUCUACUACAACAAGAAAAUCUACGAUUAAGGCCUUAUCGGUAACCUUGUUUCAUCUUUUUUGUGUGUGUUAGUUUUAGGAUUACUUGCUUUAUUAUUUUUUAUUUUUAUUUUUAUUUUUUUAGGUGUAUAGGCAUCAAUUUAAAUAAGAGGCAGAUUUAAAGGUGGUUAGGCUCUAUGCUAAAUUUUUGUCGGUAGUAUUGUUUUUCAUGUGGAGAUUGGCGAAUCGAUUGGGAAUAAUUAAUUAAUUUGUUGGUAUCAGUGCGAUUGGUUGGAAUAUACGUGCUCUUUGUGUGCAUUGC